Molecule: ribosomal RNA, 461 nt
Filed under: uncultured Geobacillus sp.
Lineage: Bacteria; Bacillati; Bacillota; Bacilli; Caryophanales; Anoxybacillaceae
Description: bacterial SSU rRNA
Rfam family: Bacterial small subunit ribosomal RNA
Source: RNAcentral
GCACAAGCGGUGGAGCAUGUGGUUUAAUUCGACGCAACGCGAAGAACCUUACCAGGUCUUGACCAUCCCCUGACAACCCGAGAGAUCGGGCGUUCCCCUUCGGGGGACAGGGUGACAGGUGGUGCAUGGUUGUCGUCAGCUCGUGUCGUGAGAUGUUGGGUUAAGUCCCGCAACGAGCGCAACCCUCGCCUCUAGUUGCCAGCAUUCGGUUGGGCACUCUAGAGGGACUGCCGGCGACAAGUCGGAGGAAGGUGGGGAUGACGUCAAAUCAUCAUGCCCCUUAUGACCUGGGCUACACACGUGCUACAAUGGGCGGUACAAAGGGUCGCGAACCCGCGAGGGGGAGCCAAUCCCAAAAAGCCGCUCUCAGUUCGGAUUGCAGGCUGCAACUCGCCUGCAUGAAGCCGGAAUCGCUAGUAAUCGCGGAUCAGCAUGCCGCGGUGAAUACGUUCCCGGGCCUU